CCCUGGUUAGCUCAGUUGGUAGAGCGCUCCACUUGUAAUGGAGAGGUCCCGGGUUCGAUACCCGGACUAGGCG
RNAcentral lists this transfer RNA (73 nucleotides) under Ixodes scapularis (black-legged tick). It matches the Rfam family "tRNA". Rfam says of the family: Transfer RNA (tRNA) molecules are approximately 80 nucleotides in length. Their secondary structure includes four short double-helical elements and three loops (D, anti-codon, and T loops). Further hydrogen bonds mediate the characteristic L-shaped molecular structure. tRNAs have two regions of fundamental functional importance: the anti-codon, which is responsible for specific mRNA codon recognition, and the 3' end, to which the tRNAs corresponding amino acid is attached (by aminoacyl-tRNA synthetases). tRNAs cope with the degeneracy of the genetic code in two manners: having more than one tRNA (with a specific anti-codon) for a particular amino acid; and 'wobble' base-pairing, i.e. permitting non-standard base-pairing at the 3rd anti-codon position. The record is from Rfam by way of RNAcentral. Lineage: Eukaryota; Metazoa; Arthropoda; Arachnida; Ixodida; Ixodidae.